UAGUCCACGCCGUAAACGAUGGAUACUAGGUGUCCGGGAUAUUAACCUCCUGGGUACUACAGUUAACGCGUUAAGUAAUCCACCUGGGGAGUACGGUCGCAAGAUUGAAACUCAAAGGAAUUGGCGGGGGCCCGCACAAGCGGUGGAGCAUGUGGUUUAAUUCGAUGAUACGCGAGGAACCUUACCAGGGCUUAAAUGUAGAUUGACAGGACUGGAAACAGUUUUUUCUUCGGACAAUUUACAAGGUGCUGCAUGGUUGUCGUCAGCUCGUGCUGUGAAGUGUCGGGUUAAGUCCCAUAACGAGCGCAACCCCCAUUCUUAGUUGCCAGCACAUCAUGGUGGGGACUCUAAGAAAACUGCCAGCGCAAGCUGUGAGGAAGGUGGGGAUGACGUCAAAUCAUCACGGCCCUUACGUCCUGGGCUACACACGUGCUACAAUGGUGCAUACAGAGGGCAGCUACCCGGCAACAGGAUGCGAAUCUCAAAAGUGCAUCUCAGUUCGGAUU
Molecule: ribosomal RNA, 506 nt
Filed under: uncultured bacterium
Lineage: Bacteria
Description: bacterial SSU rRNA
Rfam family: Bacterial small subunit ribosomal RNA
Source: RNAcentral